Molecule: long non-coding RNA, 1390 nt
Filed under: Chloebia gouldiae (Gouldian finch)
Lineage: Eukaryota; Metazoa; Chordata; Aves; Passeriformes; Passeridae
Description: Erythrura gouldiae (Gouldian finch) lncRNA (ENSEGOG00005009302.1)
Source: RNAcentral
AUGGUCAGCGACAGCGUCCUCUCCACAGGGAGCUGCUGCUGCUGCACAAGCGGAGCCGUGUCAGCAGAGAGCUGCAGCUGCAGGAGGCCCUGCAGGCCCUGCCUCAGGAGACACGAUAUUAAAUUUUUAGGUGGAACGGGCUCUUUCUCUCUCUCUCUCUCUCUGGGGAUUUGCUUGGGACAUUUUAGUGUUUUUUACCUUUCUGUCUCAUGGGGGGGGCUGGUUUGGUUUCAUUCCCCUUACCCCUCUUUCUUUCUCUGGGGCUCUGGUCUACUUCAGUUACAGGUGGCCUGGCUUCCCCUCUGUACUCUUGGUGGACUGGAACAGAAGAGAGAGUUCUCUUGGGAGUUCUUUGCUUCUAACCCUAUGUGUUCUCAGAGGUGGAUGUGAUAUUCACAGCUCUGGAGCCAAGGCUGAGCACCGUCGAGUCGCGCUGGCUGCUCUGCACAGGCGAGUGUGACAGGAAAUACACGCUGAACUGCAGGAGAAGGGAACGUGAGCCUUGGCCCUGCCAUCCUCUGGGAUCUCUGGGAACAUUGCAAGGACUGGGAGAGAGCUGAGAGCCAUGGGAGCAGUGCUGGCCGAGGCUGUCCCAGCCAAGGAGUUCCUCUUACGUCCCUUAAGAGGAUACCCCAGCGCUGUUUUCCUUCAUAAAGACUUCUGACCAGACUAUCUGUAGACUUCUGCUUUCAUGUAAGUAUUUAUUUAAAUUUUUGUCUCUGAAAGCAAAACAUUUAUCUCCUGACUUCCCUGCUAUUCAGUGUCUGCUGAACUGGGUGUGCAUUUUCCUAAGCUAAGGAAAACCCUCCCUGUGAUUCUGUAAUUUCCAAAGGAGCAGCAUUAAGUCACUUAUGUUUUUCUUGUCUCCAUAGCUUUAGCUUGACUCGUACUCAAAGACAGGAAUGACUUAAGAGCUGUAUGUGGUGAAUUGUUAGUUUGGCAGGGGUUUUUUGGAAGUUCAGGGCUAAAAUGUGAUGUAAGAAAAGGCUUUUUUUGCAGCAUUAGAUUUUUGCAGAUUGCAGCUUUUCAAGCUUUCUAAGUAAGUCACCUCAUUCCGAUUUAAACUCUCUUGAAAUAUGCUUGAUAUGUUUUUUUUUCCCACUGUUAUGUUAGUUUUCAUUUUGGUUUGGCCACAUCCUAGGAGCCUGAUUUUGGAAUGUUUUAUGGAAUUGGCCCAGUAGCUUUUACUUCUGGGGUUCCCGUAGUCUGUCCAUGGCAGGUCCAGCCUGUGCUUCAACUUGGAGCCCUCAGUCUGCAGGGAAAUGAACCUUUGGGGAAGUUCUUACAGCUCUACUUAUUCCUUUAUGAAUGAUGAUGAUUUUCUGGAAGUAGGCUGUCCAUUCUGACCCUUUUUCUUCUCUCUCUGCAGACUGUACCUGCUGAAAGGCUG